This 527-nucleotide long non-coding RNA is filed under the name Olea europaea (common olive). RNAcentral describes it as "long non-coding RNA (OEUR_LNC011127)". Lineage: Eukaryota; Viridiplantae; Streptophyta; Magnoliopsida; Lamiales; Oleaceae. The record is from RNAcentral.
UUCUUGCCGGCACAAUAAAGGUACAUUUUCAAGAUGUUGUUCCAUGUUAUUUCGAUUUUUGACCAUAAGAUUCUUGAUUCUUGAAGGGAUCGAAUUUUUCCAAGUCAAGUGAGUUUCACCAGUGGUAUUUAAGUCCUUGGUCGUGGUUUUAAGAUGCUUGAACAAUAUUCUUGAAGGAAUAUCAUUUGUGAUAUUGGCGAGGUUUAUGGAGUGUUGAUCAAAAUGAGGCAGGUACUAUUGAUAAGGAUCAGACGAAGAGAGAGAGAAGCUGGUGAUAGAGGCUGGUGAAGUGCAAACUACCAAGACUACUUCCAAGUAAUCUUCUCUUUAUUCUGUCAGUUAAUCAUUAAUAAAAAGAAUAUGUACUCUUUUUUUUUCUUUUUUUUUUUUUUAAUGGGAAGAGAUGGUAUAUGUUGUCACCCUAUCAAUUCAUGCUUGGGUUUAAAUUCUUGUGUUGAUAGGACAUGACGAUAAUCCGGUCUCACCACUAGAUUUUAAAUUAAUGUGAAAGACUUACAUUAAGCAGC